UUCGGUGGUCAUAGCGUGAGGGAAACGCCCGGUUACAUUCCGAACCCGGAAGCUAAGCCUUACAGC
This 66-nucleotide ribosomal RNA is filed under the name Streptomyces albidoflavus. The record is from RNAcentral. RNAcentral also lists the same sequence under 1 other name. Lineage: Bacteria; Bacillati; Actinomycetota; Actinomycetes; Kitasatosporales; Streptomycetaceae.